RNAcentral lists this signal recognition particle RNA (117 nucleotides) under Nomascus leucogenys (northern white-cheeked gibbon). Its description in RNAcentral is "Metazoan signal recognition particle RNA". It matches the Rfam family "Metazoan signal recognition particle RNA". Rfam says of the family: The signal recognition particle (SRP) is a universally conserved ribonucleoprotein. It is involved in the co-translational targeting of proteins to membranes. The record is from Rfam by way of RNAcentral. Lineage: Eukaryota; Metazoa; Chordata; Mammalia; Primates; Hylobatidae.
GCCGGGCGUGGUGGCUCACGCCUGUAAUCCCAGCACUUUGGGAGGCUGAGGCAGGUGGAUCACCUGAGGUCAGGAGUUCAAGACCAGCCUGGCCAACAUGGCGAGAUCCUGUCUCUA